GGGCGUUUGGCAGAGAGGUCGAUUGCGGCUGCCUGUGGUUCGAAUCCAUCAACGCCCACCA
This 61-nucleotide transfer RNA is filed under the name Pseudaquabacterium terrae. Its description in RNAcentral is "tRNA-OTHER". The record is from RNAcentral. Lineage: Bacteria; Pseudomonadati; Pseudomonadota; Betaproteobacteria; Burkholderiales; Sphaerotilaceae.